RNAcentral lists this ribosomal RNA (459 nucleotides) under uncultured bacterium. RNAcentral's name for it is "partial 16S ribosomal RNA". It matches the Rfam family "Bacterial small subunit ribosomal RNA", at positions 338 to 795 of the family's 1533-position model. The record is from RNAcentral.
CCUACGGGUGGCAGCAGUGAGGUAUAUUGGUCAAUGGCCGGAAGGCUGAACCAGCCAAGCCGCGUGAAGGACGAAGGUGCCAAGCAUUGUAAACUUCUUUUGUCAAGGGACAAAAUCAGGCUCGAGAGCCUGACCGAAGGUACUUGAAGAAAAAGCAUCGGCUAACUCCGUGCCAGCAGCCGCGGUAAUACGGAGGAUGCGAGCGUUAUCCGGAUUUAUUGGGUUUAAAGGGUGCGUAGGCGGACUGUUAAGUCAGCGGUAAAAGCCCGGGGCGAAACCCCGGCGAGCCGCGGAAACUGGCUGUCGUGAGAUGUCGGGAGGUAUGCGGAAUGCGUGGUGUAGCGGGGAAAUGCUUAGAUAUUGCGCAGAACUCCGAUUGCGAAGGCAGCAUACCGGAGGCGAUCUGACGCUGAGGCACGAAAGCGUGGGUAUCGAACAGGAUUAGAUACCCCUGUAGUC